RNAcentral lists this ribosomal RNA (497 nucleotides) under uncultured bacterium. Its description in RNAcentral is "partial 16S ribosomal RNA". It matches the Rfam family "Bacterial small subunit ribosomal RNA", at positions 28 to 507 of the family's 1533-position model. The record is from RNAcentral.
GAUGAACGCUGGCGGCGUGCCUAAUACAUGCAAGUCGAGCGAACGGACGAGAAGCUUGCUUUUCUGAUGUUAGCGGCGGACGGGUGAGUAACACGUGGAUAACCUACCUAUAAGACUGGGAUAACUUCGGGAAACCGGAGCUAAUACCGGAUAAUAUUUUGAACCGCAUGGUUCAAAAGUGAAAGACGGUCUUGCUGUCACUUAUAGAUGGAUCCGCGCUGCAUUAGCUAGUUGGUAAGGUAACGGCUUACCAAGGCAACGAUGCAUAGCCGACCUGAGAGGGUGAUCGGCGACACUGGAACUGAGACACGGUCCAGACUACUACGGGAGGCAGCAGUAGGGAAUCUUCCGCAAUAGGCGGAAGCCUGACGGAGCAACGCCGCGUGAGUGAUGGAGGUCUUCGGAUCGUAAAACUCUGUUAUUAGGGAAGAACAUAUGUGUAAGUAACUGUGCACAUCUUGACGGUACCUAAUCAGAAAGCCACGGCUAACUACGUG